Molecule: long non-coding RNA, 250 nt
Filed under: Brassica napus (rape)
Lineage: Eukaryota; Viridiplantae; Streptophyta; Magnoliopsida; Brassicales; Brassicaceae
Description: long non-coding RNA (BNAP_LNC016714)
Source: RNAcentral
AGAGAAGAAGAUUGACCACACAAUUAUAUGUAAUAAAAUCUACCUCACAAAAAACAUUUUAAACUCAUUAUAGAAGAACAUCUGAUUACUUUCCUUGAAAUAAAACCAUAUCCACAUAUAUUUAAGAAAGCCCAACUUCCAUAUAAUCCAAAUUCUGAACCUCAAAACUAGAUUGGAGUUUAUAUAAAUUACCACUAACACAAAAAAAAAAAAGAAUGGAUGAAUGUGAUGUUUUGGCAAGAUAAAAAAA